Molecule: long non-coding RNA, 1067 nt
Organism: Choloepus didactylus (southern two-toed sloth)
Lineage: Eukaryota; Metazoa; Chordata; Mammalia; Pilosa; Megalonychidae
Exons: 5
Source: RefSeq, a predicted model, not a curated record
CUCCAAAGAUGUUUUCCAGUCCUGAGUCCCUUGAAGAAUUUUAAAAUGUUCUUGCUCCAGGAAAGUGACUGUCACUCCCCACUGGAGCACUCAUCUCUCACCUGCUCUACCACAGGGAUACUGAGGAGUUGGAGGGAAAGGAGGGGAGGACCUCCGCUUCCCCAGCAGUCGGCCACAGGAAGCUGCCGAGACAGGCCUGGUGACCUCACAUGCUGAUGUCCUUGCAACAUCUAUGCAGUGUCCAAGUUGCAGUUCAAGAAAUCAGGGGUCAAAUAUCCAUUUGCCAAAUGCAGCUCAUUGACUAGACCUUCCUCUCAAUCAUUUAUCUGCCCUGCUGCACGUGAAGAGGACAUUUACUGGGCAACGCACUUCUAGUGGCACAUCAAGAUUAAGAUCCUUGGCAGAGAAAAGGAAGGUGACGGGUUGUCUGGUGUCCAUUUCUGCUUCUGGAGCAGGUGGGUGACGUUCGGAGACACAGAGGGAGUCUUCCAGGAGGUUGAAUUGCCACAGGGAUACUCCCUAAAGGAAGACAAGAAACCAGUUCACCAUCAGCCCAAAGUUGGAUCCUGCCAUUGGGUCUCCCAAGGGAACCACUGGUGUCAGGGCAGGAGUGCACAGGGACUUACGGAAGCCACUCUUCCUUCAUGCAGCGGUUGCCAAAGCCUGGCCUGUUCAAGAGGACAUCUGCAAGAGCCGCGAGCUGCUCACUGCCUGGCUCGUCCAUGCUAGACAGGCAUUCUUGGUUGUCUACUUGAGAUCACCUUUCCAGGCAGUGGAAGAUACAUUAACUUCCUUUCUGAGGGCAGACCAAGGACUCCUACCAACUUGGUCAGCAUCCCAGGGCCCUACCAAGCAACAUGUGACCCAGGGGCCCCCAGCCCACAGAGGUGAGUGGUGACCUCUGGGGAUGAGCCUGCAUACCUGAAGAAGGUGUACUGCUGCCCAUACAUCCAGGGAUGAAGUGCCAAAGCAGGAUAUUCACCAAAAGGAGGGACAAUGACAGAAAGCAUCAGAGCCCCAAACACAAAAGUGGCUGGGAGCACAAUCUGUCAGAAAAUAAACAUGGA